GCUUUUAAAGGAUAGUAGUUAUCCAUUGGUCUUAGGAACCAACUUCCUAGGUGCAAAUCCAUGUAAAAGCU
This 71-nucleotide transfer RNA is filed under the name Uraeotyphlus cf. oxyurus MW-212. Its description in RNAcentral is "tRNA-Leu". It matches the Rfam family "tRNA". From Rfam's summary of the family: Transfer RNA (tRNA) molecules are approximately 80 nucleotides in length. The record is from RNAcentral. Lineage: Eukaryota; Metazoa; Chordata; Amphibia; Gymnophiona; Ichthyophiidae.